This is a non-coding RNA of Xyrichtys novacula (pearly razorfish), 365 nucleotides long. The record is from the annotation of a GenBank genome assembly. NCBI's taxonomy places the organism in Eukaryota, Metazoa, Chordata, Actinopteri, Labriformes, Labridae.
UGCAUAGACUUGAGUUGGGAAAGGGGUCCAUAAAAAUCCUGAUUUUUUUGCCUCAGUUGUGACAGCCUGAGGGUUGGUCUUCUGGUAUAUUCUGCUCUCCUCUCUUUUGCUGGCUCUGUUUCUUGUUGCAGGUUGCUGUGGGUGGAGCUAACCUGAGAGAGCUUAUCAGUGAUACAGCACACCUGUGCAGGAGCUGAGCUGCUGCACCACAGUCUGCUCACUCUUUACUGACUGACAGACUGGCUUUGUCUUUGUUUGUAUAUUUUGUUGCUGGACGCACUCACACUUGACACACACUGACUGUUACAUCUAUUGACCCUCACCUCAUGGUUUUCUUCAUGUAAUUAAAUACUAUUGUAAAUCAU